AUACGUAGGGUGCAAGCGUUAAUCGGAAUUACUGGGCGUAAAGCGUGCGCAGGCGGUUUUGUAAGACAGUGGUGAAAUCCCCGGGCUCAACCUGGGAACUGCCAUUGUGACUGCAAGGCUGGAGUGCGGCAGAGGGGGAUGGAAUUCCGCGUGUAGCAGUGAAAUGCGUAGAUAUGCGGAGGAACACCGAUGGCGAAGGCAAUCCGCUGGGCCUGCACUGACGCUCAUGCACGAAAGCGUGGGGAGCAAACAGGAUUAGAUACCCUGGUAGUCCACGCCCUAAACGAUGUCAACUGGUUGUUGGGUCUUCAUUGACUCAGUAACGAAGCUAACGCGUGAAGUUGACCGCCUGGGGAGUACGGCCGCAAGGUUGAAACUCAAAUGAAUUGACGGGG
Molecule: ribosomal RNA, 395 nt
Filed under: uncultured bacterium
Lineage: Bacteria
Description: partial 16S ribosomal RNA
Rfam family: Bacterial small subunit ribosomal RNA
Source: RNAcentral